GACGAACGCUGGCGGCGUGCCUAAUACAUGCAAGUCGGACGCUGAAGGAGGAGCUUGCUUCUCUGGAUGAGUUGCGAACGGGUGAGUAACGCGUAGGUAACCUGCCUGGUAGCGGGGGAUAACUAUUGGAAACGAUAGCUAAUACCGCAUAAUAGUAGAUGUUGCAUGACAUUUGCUUAAAAGGUGCAAUUGCAUCACUACCAGAUGGACCUGCGUUGUAUUAGCUAGUUGGUGGGGUAACGGCUCACCAAGGCGACGAUACGUAGCCGACCUGAGAGGGGGAUCGGCGACACUGGAAGGUGACCACGGUCCAGACCCCGACGGGGGGCAGCAGGAGGGAAUCUUCGGCAAUGGGGGAAAGCCUUACGGAGCAACGCCGGGUGAGUGAGGAAGGUCUUGGGAUCGUAAAACGCUUUGAUUAGGGAAGAACAAAGGGGUAAGUAACGAUGCACGUCGUGACGGUACCGAAUCAGAAAGCCACGGCUAACUACGUG
RNAcentral lists this ribosomal RNA (494 nucleotides) under uncultured bacterium. RNAcentral's name for it is "partial 16S ribosomal RNA". It matches the Rfam family "Bacterial small subunit ribosomal RNA", at positions 28 to 507 of the family's 1533-position model. The record is from RNAcentral.